Non-coding RNA from Paramuricea clavata, 386 nucleotides. Lineage: Eukaryota; Metazoa; Cnidaria; Anthozoa; Malacalcyonacea; Plexauridae. The record is from the annotation of a GenBank genome assembly.
UUCAUGAACAGGUCAUUUCAACAUACUGUAAUAUGAUUGGUCGAGACAACACAAGGUCUUUGUUAUUGUGAAUAAGUUAUGUUGCCUAGCGCAGUAGAGAACUUCAUGUGAAAUAUUUGAUCGAAAUAUGGUCGAAUUAAUGCAAGAAGACACAAAUUUGGUUAGUCAAAGUAAAAUAUAUUUAAUAUCCUUUAUUCUUGCGAUCGUAUUUUGAAAUUUGAUUGCAUAUUUUAGUCAAGACGAACACAGAAUAUAUCGAAAGACAACACGGAGUCUGCAGAAAUGACGGAUUCUAACAAGGUAAUAUAUAUUUAUAUUGAUAUUUAGCAAACUAUAUAGACAGUACAAUCUUACAUUUUAUAUAUAUCAACAAAUACGAAGGUUUA